GAUGAAGAACGUAGCGAAAUGCGAUAAGUAAUGUGAAUUGCAGAAUUCAGUGAAUCAUCGAAUCUUUGAACGCACAUUGCGCCCCUUGGUAUCCCGAGGGGCAUGCCUGUUCGAGCGUCAUUUCACCACUCAAGCCUGGCUUGGUGUUGGGCGACGUCCUCUUUGGGGACGCGCCUCGAAACGCUCGGCGGCGUGGCACCGGCUUUAAGCGUAGCAGAAUCUUUCGCUUUGGAAGUCGGGGCCCCGUCUGCCGGAAGACCUGCUCGCAAGGUUGACCUCGAAUCAGGUAGGACUACCCGCUGAACUUAAGCAUAUCAAUAAGCGGAGGA
RNAcentral lists this unclassified non-coding RNA (329 nucleotides) under soil metagenome. RNAcentral describes it as "partial contains 5.8S ribosomal RNA, internal transcribed spacer 2, and large subunit ribosomal RNA". The stretch from base 1 to 120 matches the Rfam family "5.8S ribosomal RNA", at positions 35 to 154 of the family's 154-position model. The record is from RNAcentral.